ACAACUUAAUGUGUUUUUUCUACCACAGGAUUACUGAGAUUUUGUGUGAAGAAAACUGUGGUUACAGGCUGUGUGUUGAUGAUGAAAUUACACUGUGUUGUGGAGAAAAUAUGAAUGUUACAGGGGAGAAGUGAAUACAGUUUGAGACAUACUGUGAUGAAACCAUUGUUACUUUUUCCACAGCGAGUGUUAACUUUAUGACUUUUCACAGCUUCUCUGGAAUCUGAAUGGCCGACACCUGAUAACCAGGA
Long non-coding RNA from Oreochromis niloticus (Nile tilapia), 251 nucleotides. RefSeq lists it as uncharacterized. NCBI's taxonomy places the organism in Eukaryota, Metazoa, Chordata, Actinopteri, Cichliformes, Cichlidae. The transcript is spliced from 2 exons. The record is from RefSeq and is a predicted model, not a curated record.